Molecule: unclassified non-coding RNA, 534 nt
Filed under: Bombus terrestris (buff-tailed bumblebee)
Lineage: Eukaryota; Metazoa; Arthropoda; Insecta; Hymenoptera; Apidae
Description: misc RNA ENSBTSG00005020087.1
Source: RNAcentral
AUAAUGGCACAACUGCAAAAAUGUAAAUUUUAGAGGAGAGUCAUUUUAACAUUUACAGAAUGAUGUUCGUGAGUCGUUUCAACGAGGUCGCAAGGCUGACCUGACUCGCCAUAUGCCACUGUUCGCGAAAACGAUACAGCCUUUCGCUUAUAGCGUCAAGAACAACUGAAGAUGAACCAGUGUCGUAAAACUAAGGCCAGGUCGAUAGCGGCGGAAUUUUCAAAGAUACACGAUAUGUAUGGUACAUUGGUUGGAACAACGGUUUGGGCGAUCCGUCGGCAAAGAAAAAUCGCACUCUGUCCUCGCUUCGUGACGCUUCGAGAGCAUCCAAGCCGUGACCUUAACUAACUGGAAUUAGUGUGGCAACGAGAAAAUUAUCACGGUCGUUUAGCAAUCAUCCUACACGAUCGUUCGAGUUAAUGCGAAAGCCGCGUACGCGAAAAUUAAAUUCUCAAAUGAAAUGCAGUUAUUGUAAUUGAUACGCCGCUGGCGCGUCUCGCCUCUUCGUCGCUUUUCUUUUUUCUUGUAAUAAAU